RNAcentral lists this long non-coding RNA (513 nucleotides) under Phascolarctos cinereus (koala). Its description in RNAcentral is "lncRNA (ENSPCIG00000031557.1)". The record is from RNAcentral. Lineage: Eukaryota; Metazoa; Chordata; Mammalia; Diprotodontia; Phascolarctidae.
CCAGGCAUCCUGACUCCAGAGACUCUUGUCACUUAGUACCUAAGAGACAUCCUUAGAUUUCCAUGAUUCUAAUGUUUCUGCAUAGUAUUAAUUUCUUUUUUAAAAAAAAUUCCUCCAGAACUUAGCUUGUUUGUGUUUUUUUUUUAUCCCCAGCUCCUUGCAUACUUGCAAAACAGUAGGCUGCUUAGUAUUUGUUGAAUCGAAUGAAAUUGAAUUGAGGUCACUCAUUUUCAAAAAUAUUACGUGACUACUAAAAAGGUUUUUCACACAUAUGAAAAUGAUUCCAAGUCCCUAGUUCUGCACACAUAUGAGAAUCAAUCACAGCCCGCAGUUCUGCACACAUAUGAAAAUAAUCCCCAAGCUGGAGGUGGAAUAGCGACCACUCAGGACCAGAGUUUUGCCUCAGCCUCCCCCUCAACCCCAUCUGAGAAAGCUUACCAGGUAGGUACAGGGACAAAUUGAAGAAACACCUGGACCCCAGGAGAGAGGGGUGCUUCGGCUUUAGCCAGUUCC